RNAcentral lists this transfer RNA (76 nucleotides) under Dongia sedimenti. RNAcentral's name for it is "Rhodospirillaceae bacterium R-7 tRNA-Glu". It matches the Rfam family "tRNA". Rfam says of the family: Transfer RNA (tRNA) molecules are approximately 80 nucleotides in length. Their secondary structure includes four short double-helical elements and three loops (D, anti-codon, and T loops). RNAcentral also lists the same sequence under 1 other name. The record is from RNAcentral. Lineage: Bacteria; Pseudomonadati; Pseudomonadota; Alphaproteobacteria; Rhodospirillales; Dongiaceae.
GACCCCAUCGUCUAGUGGCCUAGGACAACGCCCUCUCACGGCGUGAACAGGGGUUCAAAUCCCCUUGGGGUCGCCA